UCGUAAUGCUAGAGGAUAGGGACCAGUCACCAAUGAUCAACCUAAAAUAAUCUGGCAAGAAAAUAUAUGGAGGGCCAGGUGGGGGAUGUCGGUGAAGCUGAAAGGGCCUGUGGAAGACAAGGGAGGACGGCAGUGGAGAGGGCCGAGGUCGAAGGGUGCCGGCAGAUGAGGAAAAAAGAUGAAGUGAAGGAUGACAGAGGAUAAUAGUUAAAGCCACCGAGGGUAAGGCAUUCCCAUCCAAGUCCAGUGACUACAACUUUCCAAGCAAUUAAUCAUGUUGCUGUAUUAAAAGAGAGUAGAAGAUGUGGCA
RNAcentral lists this long non-coding RNA (310 nucleotides) under Elaeis guineensis (African oil palm). RNAcentral describes it as "long non-coding RNA (EGUI_LNC026705)". The record is from RNAcentral. Lineage: Eukaryota; Viridiplantae; Streptophyta; Magnoliopsida; Arecales; Arecaceae.